CCUGGAGACUCCUACGGGAGGCAGCAGUAGGGAAUCUUCCGCAAUGGACGCAAGUCUGACGGAGCAACGCCGCGUGAGUGAAGAAGGUCUUCGGAUCGUAAAGCUCUGUUGUUAGAGAAGAACAGCGCAUAGAGUAACUGUUAUGCGUGUGACGGUAUCUAACCAGAAAGCCACGGCUAACUACGUGCCAGCAGCCGCGGUAAUACGUAGGUGGCGAGCGUUGUCCGGAUUUAUUGGGCGUAAAGGGAGUGUAGGCGGUCUUUUAAGUCUGAUGUGAAAGCCCACGGCUCAACCGUGGAGGGUCAUUGGAAACUGGGAGACUUGAGUGCAGAAGAGGAGAGCGGAAUUCCAUGUGUAGCGGUGAAAUGCGUAGAUAUAUGGAGGAACACCAGUGGCGAAGGCGGCUCUCUGGUCUGUAACUGACGCUGAGGCUCGAAAGCGUGGGGAGCAAACAGGAUUAGAUACCCUUGUAGUCC
RNAcentral lists this ribosomal RNA (476 nucleotides) under uncultured bacterium. Its description in RNAcentral is "bacterial SSU rRNA". It matches the Rfam family "Bacterial small subunit ribosomal RNA", at positions 328 to 796 of the family's 1533-position model. The record is from RNAcentral.